UACGUAGGGUGCAAGCGUUGUCCGGAAUUAUUGGGCGUAAAGAGCUCGUAGGCGGUUUGUCGCGUCUGCUGUGAAAACGCGAGGCUCAACCUCGCGCCUGCAGUGGGUACGGGCAAACUAGAGUGCGGUAGGGGAGAUUGGAAUUCCUGGUGUAGCGGUGGAAUGCGCAGAUAUCAGGAGGAACACCGAUGGCGAAGGCAGAUCUCUGGGCCGUAACUGACGCUGAGGAG
Molecule: ribosomal RNA, 230 nt
Filed under: uncultured microorganism
Description: partial 16S ribosomal RNA
Rfam family: Bacterial small subunit ribosomal RNA
Source: RNAcentral